RNAcentral lists this ribosomal RNA (447 nucleotides) under uncultured bacterium. RNAcentral describes it as "SSU rRNA". It matches the Rfam family "Bacterial small subunit ribosomal RNA", at positions 26 to 518 of the family's 1533-position model. The record is from RNAcentral.
AGAACGAACGCUGGCGGCAUGCCUAACACAUGCAAGUCGAACGAGACCUUCGGGUCUAGUGGCGCACGGGUGCGUAACGCGUGGGAAUCUGCCCUUGGGUUCGGAAUAACAGUUAGAAAUGACUGCUAAUACCGGAUGAUGACGUAAGUCCAAAGAUUUAUCGCCCAGGGAUGAGCCCGCGUAAGAUUAGCUAGUUGGUGGGGUAAAGGCCUACCAAGGCAACGAUCUUUAGCUGGUCUGAGAGGAUGAUCAGCCACACUGGGACUGAGACACGGCCCAGACUCCUACGGGAGGCAGCAGUGGGGAAUAUUGGACAAUGGGCGAAAGCCUGAUCCAGCAAUGCCGCGUGAGUGAUGAAGGCCUUAGGGUUGUAAAGCUCUUUUCUCAGGGAAGAUCCAAGACGGUACCUGAGGAAUAAGCGACGGCUAACUACGUGCCAGCAGCCGC